GUGAGUGCCGAGAGGCUGAGGACUGAUGGGUAGGCAAAAUGCGUUUCAGCCUUGGCUUACCAGACCGGAGACCACUGCAGAUCCUCAUGUCUGCUUUGUUCGCGCUGUUUUCCGGUUGGGAAAAAUGUUAUUGAGAGUAUUGGGGUGGGGCCUCUCGAGACUCCAGGGUCUAGAGUCUAUCUGUUGACAUGCAGUUGGAGCCGGUGGGGAUGGCAGGGAGAAAAAGACCCUUUCUGAGAACUUGAGGCAGAGUUGGCUAUGGAACUGAUAAGGAUCAAAGGACAAGUCCUGGGCUCUUGGGAGCUGCCAUGCUCCCAGUGAGCCUCCAGUUCCCAGCCUCCCAGUGGCUCCCAGGCCCCAGUAGGCCCCACUUCAGGGCUCUAAAGCCCCUGGCUGCCUGCAUCAGAAUCGCCUAGGUGCUUGUUACAGUUGCCCAAUGCUAGGUUCCAGCCUAGAUGUUCUGAUCUCAAAGUAGAGGAGGAAGGACAGGGACUGUGGCUCCCAGCCCCCUGACCCAGGUGACUCUCAAUUUAGGAACCAUCUCCCUGUGUGCUCAGGCCAAACCCAGACCAGGGGCAGCUCCACACACACAGCCUGUUUCCUCUUCCUUGGAGGCUCCCCCACCCCCGGAUUUCUGGGUUAACGGCCAGAAAUUCCGGAAAAGCAGCAUUUCUCCUGGUGCUCUCCACAAAGGAGCCGGUGGCUAGGCCAGAGAAGCAGCCAGUCCUCACAGGAGUCCCUCUCCAGAGCCAAGGCCUCCCCACCUCGGGGUGCCCGCUGAGCCCCAUCCCGUGGCACCCGCCCCCUCCUGCUUUCUCCUCUGCACUCAGAGCCGGGGAGGCCUGCUCUGGCCAACCUGCAGACUUGGAUUCAUCUUUCAAAACCAACCUCCGCCCCCUCACCUUUUCUGCUAAUCCUCCUGCCAAGCUGACAGAGCCCUGAUGUUCCCUUCCCGUGGGGAGGUGGCACGUCCCUCAUGUCCCUCACGCCGUGGGCCUCACAUCAGCACGCAGAGCGCCCCUGCAGGCGUGCCUCUGUGAGCAGCCACAGGUGGGAGUAGGUGUGUGGGGAAGGUGGUUCUUAAUUGGGCUUGUGGUCUGGAGGUAGUUGAAAGCUUCUUUUUUUCCCCUCCUAACAAGGAUUUGGGUGGGUUCUCUAUUAUCUCAUUGCAG
Bos taurus (domestic cattle) is the source of this 1172-nucleotide long non-coding RNA. Lineage: Eukaryota; Metazoa; Chordata; Mammalia; Artiodactyla; Bovidae. The record is from Ensembl.